Molecule: ribosomal RNA, 254 nt
Filed under: uncultured bacterium
Lineage: Bacteria
Description: partial 16S ribosomal RNA
Rfam family: Bacterial small subunit ribosomal RNA
Source: RNAcentral
UACGUAGGGGGCGAGCGUUGUCCGAAGUUACUGGGCGUAAAGCGCGCGUAGGCGGUUUCUUAAGUCUGGUGUGAAAGGUUCAGGGCUCAACCCGAACAGUGCACUGGAUACUGGGAGACUUGAGUAUGGGAGAGGAGAGCGGAAUUCCUGGUGUAGCGGUGAAAUGCGUAGAUAUCAGGAGGAACACCGAUGGCGAAGGCAGCUCUCUGGCCUGUAGCUGACGCUGAGGUGCGAAAGCGUGGGGAGCAAACAGG